GCCCCUGCUGCUACCCUUCUCCCUCCUCCUCCUUCUCCCCCUGCCUCUCUCCCUGGCUGCAUGAAGAGCAAAGGCCAUGUGAGGACAUGGGGAAGGCAGCUGUCUGCAAGCCAGGAAGACAGGCCUCUCUAGAAACUGACACUGAUGACACCUUGAUACAAACUUGUAGCCCUCGAACUGGGGGACAACCCAAAUCUCUGUCAACUAAGUCACCCAGCCUGAUUAUUUUUCUGAUGGCAUUUGGAGCACAUAAUGCAAUGUGACUGUCCAGUUUUUCUUUGCCACAAGGAAAUUGUCAAAUGCAAAUGCAAAAAUACUGCACAACUUCUUAGGCCAGGCAUACGGUGCAUGCCUGUAAUCUCCAAACCCUGAAAACAAGGGCAGGAGGGUUGGACAUUCAAGGCUUGCUAUUGUCAUUCAACCCUUGCUGAUCCUUCAGCUGGGAAAAGAAAUAUGUCCAGGGGUUCUGCUCCCCGUCACUUGUUGGCUCUCUAAGACACCCUGACUCAGCAGUCUCUCUCCUACCCUUACACACAGACACAUGCAUUGGAAGAAGACUCUGAAGUUUGUUCAGAGUAAAUAAUGAAGCGGCAUGGAGCACUAAGUUACCAAGGGUGUGUGAUGUAACAGGGACUUGAGAGUUAAGCCAAAGAGAUGGUAAACUAACCGUGAAUUUUAUCUUGUGUCCAUAGCUAGGUAUACAGGUGUAGCCAAGAAAAAAAACCAUACCUUACUGAGCUCUGAAAGUCUACCCUGUACCUAUCAGUCCACAUCUGCAAAGAGCCAGCAGGCGGUAGGCAGAUUACACGCCACAGUGUGCCGGAGCUGAGGAGCUGUUUUGUGAAGCAGGUGCUUGAAGAUUUAAAGUAUAACCGUGCCAGCUACAAAGGUUCAAGGUUCUUCGGCAGGCGCCCAAGUCUCAGAGCCCUCAUGCAGUGGCUGAUGGAAGCAGAGGCAGACACCCACAGAUAGACACUGAACUGAACUGUGGCACUUAGUUGCAGAGAGGGAAGAAUGAAGAUCAAAGGGGUCAGUA
Cricetulus griseus (Chinese hamster) is the source of this 1036-nucleotide non-coding RNA. The record is from RefSeq and is a predicted model, not a curated record. NCBI's taxonomy places the organism in Eukaryota, Metazoa, Chordata, Mammalia, Rodentia, Cricetidae.